This 140-nucleotide ribosomal RNA is filed under the name Encephalitozoon intestinalis. RNAcentral describes it as "partial 23S ribosomal RNA". The record is from RNAcentral. Lineage: Eukaryota; Fungi; Microsporidia; Unikaryonidae.
UUUUUUUGAUUUGAGGAUCCACGGGAUUGAUAGGCAUUAGCAGCGAGGAAGGACGUGUAGGAGGACGAUAUGCCUUUUUGAGGAUGUCUGAAUGAAGCGGAAGCGCUUGGGGACCCCUUNNACUUAAGCAUAAGCUUGGA